UACAGAGGUCACAAGCGUUGUUCGGAUUCAUUGGGCGUAAAGGGUGCGUAGGCGGCGCGGUAAGUCGGAUGUGAAAUCUCGGAGCUUAACUUCGAAACUGCAUUCGAUACUGCCGUGCUUGAGGACUGGAGAGGAGACUGGAAUUUACGGUGUAGCGGUGAAAUGCGUAGAUAUCGGGAGGAACACCAGUGGCGAAGGCGACUACCUGGCCUGUUCUUGACGCUGAGGCGCGAAAGCUAGGGGAGCAAACGGG
RNAcentral lists this ribosomal RNA (253 nucleotides) under uncultured bacterium. Its description in RNAcentral is "partial 16S ribosomal RNA". It matches the Rfam family "Bacterial small subunit ribosomal RNA", at positions 524 to 776 of the family's 1533-position model. The record is from RNAcentral.